UCAAAAAGAGUUUGUAGGAAUACUAACUUUGGGAGUUAGAGGAUAGCAAAAAGUUGCUAUUUUUGAA
Molecule: transfer RNA, 67 nt
Filed under: Hypselodoris apolegma
Lineage: Eukaryota; Metazoa; Mollusca; Gastropoda; Nudibranchia; Chromodorididae
Description: tRNA-Pro
Source: RNAcentral